RNAcentral lists this ribosomal RNA (470 nucleotides) under uncultured bacterium. Its description in RNAcentral is "SSU rRNA". It matches the Rfam family "Bacterial small subunit ribosomal RNA", at positions 26 to 518 of the family's 1533-position model. The record is from RNAcentral.
AGGACGAACGCUGGCGGCGUGCUUAACACAUGCAAGUCGAGCGGAAAGGCCCUUCGGGGUACUCGAGCGGCGAACGGGUGAGUAACACGUGAGUAAUCUGCCCCUAGCUCUGGGAUAGCUCCGGGAAACCGGGAUUAAUAUCAGAUACGACCACUUUAGACAUCUGCUGUGGUGGAAAGAAUUUCGGCUAGGGAUGAGCUCGCGGCCUAUCAGCUUGUUGGUGAGGUAACGGCUCACCAAGGCGACGACGGGUAGCCGGCCUGAGAGGGCGACCGGCCACACUGGGACUGAGACACGGCCCAGACUCCUACGGGAGGCAGCAGUGGGGAAUAUUGCGCAAUGGGCGAAAGCCUGACGCAGCGACGCCGCGUGGGGAUGAAGGCCUUCGGUUGUAAACCCCUUUCAGCAGGACGAAGCGAAGUGACGGUACCUGCAGAAGAAGCGCCGGCUAACUACGUGCCAGCAGCCGC